This 383-nucleotide ribosomal RNA is filed under the name uncultured eukaryote. Its description in RNAcentral is "partial 18S ribosomal RNA". It matches the Rfam family "Eukaryotic small subunit ribosomal RNA", at positions 592 to 976 of the family's 1831-position model. The record is from RNAcentral.
CAAUAGCGUAUAUUAAAGUUGUUGCAGUUAAAAAGCUCGUAGUUGGAUUUCUGGUAGGAGUGACCGUUCCGAACUUGAUUGUUCGUGUAUUGUGUUCUCUCCAGCCAUCCUUGUGGAGAACUUUUCUUGCAUUAAUUUGUAGGGAUUGGGACCCGCAUCGUUUACUGUGAAAAAAUUAGAGUGUUUAAAGCAGGCAAUCGCUUGAAUACAUUAGCAUGGAAUAAUAAGAUAGGACUUUGGUACUAUUUUGUUGGUUUGCAUACCAAAUUAAUGAUCAACAGGAACAGUUUGAGGAUAUUCGUAUGAACAUGUCAGAGGUGAAAUUCUUGGAUUUUGAUCAGACGAACUACUGCGAAAGCAUUUAUCAAGGAUGUUUUCAUUAA